Pseudonaja textilis is the source of this 331-nucleotide non-coding RNA. The record is from RefSeq and is a predicted model, not a curated record. NCBI's taxonomy places the organism in Eukaryota, Metazoa, Chordata, Lepidosauria, Squamata, Elapidae.
UAGGAGUUAACCCCUGAAAAUGUAAAAGGCCUGCUGGGCACAAAUCUAAACAAUCUGAGGGACAAUCAGAAUGUGCCACUUGUACGAGAGUGGAUCCAGAAGCAGAAGCAAUCUGAUCUGAACAGCCUUGGUUUGGGACUCCAAGGUGGCCUUCCCGAAGGGUAUAUUAUUCUUAAAAGACAUAAGAAAUAAGGCUGAGCGCUGAAUGUGCACCUUCUGCUAGAUGACCAUUUGGCUUCUUGUUUCAACCGGGCACCACCUAUUCGAGUUCAUCUCUGCAAGUGAAGAGCUACUUGUGCAAACAAAAGUGAAUAAAUCUAUUGUUUGAGGA